RNAcentral lists this ribosomal RNA (253 nucleotides) under uncultured bacterium. RNAcentral describes it as "partial 16S ribosomal RNA". It matches the Rfam family "Bacterial small subunit ribosomal RNA", at positions 524 to 776 of the family's 1533-position model. The record is from RNAcentral.
UACAGAGACUGCAAGCGUUAUUCGGAUUCACUGGGCGUAAAGGGUGCGCAGGCGGUCGGGUGUGUCAGAUGUGAAAUCCCGAGGCUCAACCUCGGAACUGCGUCUGAAACUACUCGACUAGAGUACUGGAGAGGGUAACGGAAUUCACGGUGUAGCAGUGAAAUGCGUAGAUAUCGUGAGGAACACCAGAGGCGAAGGCGAGUCCCUGGACAACUUCUGACGCUGAGGCACGAAAGCUAGGGGAGCAAACAGG